Molecule: unclassified non-coding RNA, 327 nt
Filed under: uncultured Solirubrobacteraceae bacterium
Lineage: Bacteria; Bacillati; Actinomycetota; Thermoleophilia; Solirubrobacterales; Solirubrobacteraceae
Description: contains 16S-23S intergenic spacer region
Source: RNAcentral
UCCGGUUUGUCACCGGCAGUCUCGCAUGAGUCCCCAACUAAAUGCUGGCAACAUGCGACGGGGGUUGCGCUCGUUGCGGGACUUAACCCAACAUCUCACGACACGAGCUGACGACAGCCAUGCACCACCUGUGAAGAUCCGGCCGAACCGACUCCGUGUUUCCACGGAUGCGAUCUACAUGUCAAGCCCAGGUAAGGUUCUUCGCGUUGCGUCGAAUUAAACCACAUGCUCCGCUGCUUGUGCGGGCCCCCGUCAAUUCCUUUGAGUUUCGGUCUUGCGACCGUACUCCCCAGGCACCUAGUGCCCAUCGUUUACGGCGUGGACUAC